RNAcentral lists this long non-coding RNA (301 nucleotides) under Oryza brachyantha (malo sina). RNAcentral's name for it is "long non-coding RNA (OBRA_LNC003197)". Lineage: Eukaryota; Viridiplantae; Streptophyta; Magnoliopsida; Poales; Poaceae. The record is from RNAcentral.
AUGCUCUACAGAGCUGGAACAGUGGUCUGAUCAGUUUUAUUGUGUUCUCAACAUGUUAGGCCAGGAGAGCAACUGACGGGUAUUCCAAUUCUUGUAUGAAACAAUUGCAUCGUACGGGCAUGUAUGUGUUCAACCGACAUGGACUUAGAUUGGCAUUGCAAACAUGCCAUGCCAGGGAUUCCUUGUUAGUCAUAGAAGAUAAAACAAUGAUGGUAUUGGUAUGAGUAGUUAGUUACGGAUUGAUGGAAUAAAUAGAUUGUUUUUUUGUUUUAUCGUCAAAAGUAUAUAAAGUAUUCUAUGU